GUGCCAGCAGCCGCGGUAAUACCGGCAGCCCGAGUGAUGGCCGAUCUUAUUGGGCCUAAAGCGUCCGUAGCUGGCUGCGCAAGUCCGUCGGGAAAUCCACUCGCCCAACGAGUGGGCGUCCGACGGAAACUGCACGGCUUGGGGCCGAGAGACUCGACGGGUACGUCCGGGGUAGGAGUGAAAUCCCAUAAUCCCGCACGGACCACCGAUGGCGAAAGCACUUCGAGAAAACGGAUCCGACAGUGAGGGACGAAAGCCAGGGUCUCCAACCGGAUUAGAUACCCCAGUAGUCC
Molecule: ribosomal RNA, 293 nt
Filed under: uncultured bacterium
Lineage: Bacteria
Description: partial 16S ribosomal RNA
Rfam family: Archaeal small subunit ribosomal RNA
Source: RNAcentral